RNAcentral lists this ribosomal RNA (440 nucleotides) under uncultured bacterium. Its description in RNAcentral is "bacterial SSU rRNA". It matches the Rfam family "Bacterial small subunit ribosomal RNA", at positions 338 to 795 of the family's 1533-position model. The record is from RNAcentral.
CCUACGGGGGGCUGCAGUGGGGAAUAUUGCACAAUGGGUGAAGCCCUGACGCAGCAACGCCGCGUAACCGGUGAAGGCCUUCGGGUCGGAAAGCGCUGUCCUAAGGGCAUGAUACUGACGGUACCUUCUGAGGAAGCCCUGGCUAACUACGGUCCAGCAGCCUCGGUAAUACGUAGGGGGCUAGCUUUAUCCGGAAUUACUGGGCGUAAAGGGGGCGUAGGCCGACCUUCAAGGCAGGGGUGAAAUGGUAAAGCUCAACAGUAGUAAGCCGUUGAAAAUGUAGGGGUUGAGUGCAAGAGCGGAGAGUGGAAUUCUCAGUGUAGCGGUGAAAUGCGUAGAUAUUGGGAGGAACGCCAGUUGCGAAGGCGGAUCUCUGGACUGUAACUGACGCUGAGGCACGAAAGCGUGGGGAGCGAACAGGAUUAGAUACCCUUGUAGUC